UUGGUUUGUACAACUCAAUAUGAGUAGGAAGAAUAUGAUUUUUAAAUGCUAGAAUACUCACUUGGCAAUAUUUAAAAUUGACUAUUGUCUCUAAAAAUACAUAAUUUUUAGCCUGUCAAGUCACAAUUAUAGUUGGGCUAAGUAGCUGUUUAAGUCUCUCUCUCAUCUAAAAAAUUUGUAGAAUAUUUAAUAUUAAAUACCUCUUCUAAUUUAUGUAUUUCUAAUGUACUUUGCAAAUACAACACAGAAGUAACAAUGAGCAGUAUUCUGUAUGAUGGCACAUAUAUGAAUUUAUUUUGGUAUAUUCUGUAAAUAUUUAUAUGCAGGCAAAACCAGUUUGUGUCUCAUAGCAUUUAGAUGAAUGUUUAUUGGCCAAACUGCCGUAGUAAAGAGGCUACUUGCAAUAUUCUGGUGUAGCAAAGUGAAGUUUGUGGGAAUUGGAAGGCCAGAGUAUCCUCAACUAUUGAUCAUUGUAGAGUUCCUGGGACUCAACAUCUUCCGGGACUGGGUCUGAAAGUAAUAAAAUAAUAAUCAUGAAUCACUAGUAAAAGUUCAGUUGCAAUACCAGUUUUUGCCAUUAUCACUUAAGGGUGCAUUAAGUAUUUAGGGAAAGAUUAGGUCGUGAUUACAAAUUAUGGCACAAGCAUUCUGAUAGACUUUGUGUUCUGUUUUAUUUUAAGGUUUUGCAUUACCCAUCAUACCUGAUGUUGUUCCGCAAAAGAAGGAUCAAUGCAUGUAGUAUCUAUUGGAUGCAGAAAUUUCUGCUGGGAUGGAGAAAGAAAAGUUUGCAGAAGAAGUUGUCACAAAGACAAAUGAGCUUAAGAGACUAAGAAGAGAGCCAUAUAAUUUGAAGUUCACAAAGACAGCAAUCAACAAAGCAGCAGAAUUAUAGAUGAGGAACUGUUCUGUGGAAACAUUGCAAAUAGGUGAUCUCCAUUAUGAAUGCUCCAAUCCAAGAGAUGAGAAUGCUAUUUAUGCAAGCAGCAUGGAAAUUUGGGGUUCUUUAAAAACAAAGAGAAUUUUGAGAACAGUUGAAACAGAAUGAGCAAUGGAGGUCUGGCUAAUACAUCGAUCUGGGCUGUCAAGCUGAGGGUUGAUCUGAAGGUGUUUAAAAUGUGUCUGCAUUUCCUGCAUAACUGCAUCCAACUCAUUAAGGACAUGAAGCUCUGUUGAGAGGUGAUAACUCACGAGAAGUGUUUUGCACGGCAUGAUGGAGAAAGAUGAGAGUGCCAUCACCCUGUGAGCACCAUGGGCAGGGAGUUGGAGCACAUGCACAGGAGGAGGAGAGGGCAAGGUCUCCUGUGCUUUCCAGUGCCCCAGCAAAAUGCGGCUGCUCCACAAGAAUAGGGACCCUGCAGAGGAGGCAGUGCCAGGAGUGUCUGAGAGAGCAGAGAAGGACCACAGCAUGUGGCUUGGAGAUGCUUUGAAUAGGUUUUCUUCAAGGUUAACCAUGUCAGUGUAAUUCAAGAUAAGAGUUCUUACUUACUGGAGGACCAGGUGGACCAGGUAAGCCACUGUCACCCUUCUGAC
Molecule: long non-coding RNA, 1530 nt
Organism: Catharus ustulatus (Swainson's thrush)
Lineage: Eukaryota; Metazoa; Chordata; Aves; Passeriformes; Turdidae
Exons: 9
Source: RefSeq, a predicted model, not a curated record